CCCCGUGUGGCUCAGUUGGUAGAGCAUGGUGCUUGCAACAUCCAGGUUGUGGUUUCUAUUCCCAUGGGGA
RNAcentral lists this transfer RNA (70 nucleotides) under Oncorhynchus mykiss (rainbow trout). It matches the Rfam family "tRNA". Rfam says of the family: Transfer RNA (tRNA) molecules are approximately 80 nucleotides in length. Their secondary structure includes four short double-helical elements and three loops (D, anti-codon, and T loops). Lineage: Eukaryota; Metazoa; Chordata; Actinopteri; Salmoniformes; Salmonidae. The record is from Rfam by way of RNAcentral. RNAcentral also lists the same sequence under 3 other names.